UACAGGGGGUGCAAACGUUGCUCGGAAUCAUUGGGCGUAAAGCGUGCGUAGGCGGCUGCGCAAGUCGGGUGUGAAACCCCGGGGCUCAACCCCGGAACUGCAUCCGAUACUGCGUGGCUAGAGGUAGGUAGGGGAGAUCGGAAUUCCUGGUGUAGCGGUGAAAUGCGCAGAUAUCAGGAGGAACACCGGUGGCGAAGGCGGAUCUCUGGGCCUUACCUGACGCUCAGGCACGAAAGCUAGGGGAGCGAACAGG
RNAcentral lists this ribosomal RNA (253 nucleotides) under uncultured bacterium. RNAcentral's name for it is "partial 16S ribosomal RNA". It matches the Rfam family "Bacterial small subunit ribosomal RNA", at positions 524 to 776 of the family's 1533-position model. The record is from RNAcentral.